This 1542-nucleotide ribosomal RNA is filed under the name Triticum aestivum (bread wheat). RNAcentral's name for it is "partial small subunit ribosomal RNA". The record is from RNAcentral. Lineage: Eukaryota; Viridiplantae; Streptophyta; Magnoliopsida; Poales; Poaceae.
AUGGAUUUGAAUUUGAUGCCGGAAGAGGAGGACGAAGCUCAAGAAGAAGAACAAGCUCAGCAGGGUGAUGCUAUUGAUUUGAACUUGAUGCCGGAAGAUGAGGAUGAAGCUCAACAAGAAGAACAAGCUCAACAGGGUGAUGCUAUUGAUUUGAACUUGAUGCCGGAAGAUGAGGAUGAAGACAUUGAAUUGAAUUGGUUUCCUGAAGAGGAAGAAGCUGAAGAGGCACAAGAAGAUGCAGAAUUGGAAGAAGCUCAAGAGGCACAAGGAGAUGCAGAAUUGGAAGAAGCUCAAGAGGCACAAGAAGAUGCAGAAUUGGAAGAAGCUGAUGCACAUGGCAAUCCAAGAGGCAAGGACUUGACAGACAAGGAGAGACAUGGUGUUUACUUUGCUCUGCGAGUAAUCGAGCUUAGAGAUGGACAGGUUCACGUGUAUGACAAGGUGCUCAUUGCGACGAUGCUGAAUGUUCACUUGCGAACAGUUACAAGAAUAUGGAAUCUAGCCAAACGACAACUUGCAGCAGGCCAAGAAGUUGAUGUUUCAAGCAAGAAGAACAAAAGUGGUAGGAAGAGAAAAGAACUAGAUCUGUCGAGAACAGCCACAAUCCCCUUGAACAAAAGAAGAACAAUCCGGUCUCUAGCAAGGUGUUUAGGUGUGCCCCGAUCAACCCUACAUGACAGAUUUCAAUUGCAAGAGCUGAAACGCAUCACAAGCACCAUCAAACCCACCCUCAAGCCACAGAACAAGAUAGCGAGACUAAAGUUCUGCCUAUCCAUGAUGGAUGAAAGAUGGAUAUUAAGUCCUCGGCCCAGUUUCAAGCCAAUGACAAAUAUGGUCCACAUCGACGAGAAAUGGUAUGACAUGACCCGAGUGAAGAGUAGCUACUACGUACUGCCUGGAGAAGAAGAACCAAACCGAACUGUGCACAAUACUCAUAGCAUUGGGAAGACCGAGGCACAACGAACAAGCCAGAAUAGAGAUAGGGGGACAAUAGAGUUGAAGCCGGUCAAAGUUACUAGACCUGUGUGCAGAGAUUACUUGAUCAAUAAAGUAAUCCCUGCCAUUCAAGACAAAUGGCCGGACGGUGACGAUGACACAACGAUCUUUAUUCAACAAGAUAAUGCAACACCGCAUGUCCUCCCUAAUGAUGCUGGUUUUCUAGAAGCCGUGGCACAGACAGAUCUGGAUAUUCGAUUAUUGCAACAACCACCAAACAGCCCUGAGCUCAAUGUUCUGGAUCUUUGUUUCCACUGCUCCCUCCAAUCCCUAACCGACUGCAGAGCGCCUAUGAAUAUACAGGAACUGGUACAGGGUGUAGAGGAGGAGUUUGAGAACUACGAUCCCCAUAAGCUGUUCAAAAGCUUUAUGACGUUGCAAGCAGUCAUGGUGGAAGUGAUGAAAGAUAAAGGAGGAAACAACUAUAAGCUGCCGCAUCUACACAAGGACCGUCUACAAAAUGCUGGAGAGAAAAUAACCGGUGUAUACUGCAGUCCGGAGCUAAUUACUGACACCAAGGCCAUUAUUGAACAAGGAAAUGAGUAG